Long non-coding RNA from Apis dorsata (giant honeybee), 1107 nucleotides. RefSeq lists it as uncharacterized. NCBI's taxonomy places the organism in Eukaryota, Metazoa, Arthropoda, Insecta, Hymenoptera, Apidae. The record is from RefSeq and is a predicted model, not a curated record. The transcript is spliced from 3 exons.
AUUAUCCAACGAGCCACGUGAUUGGUGGAUCGCGAUCAUGUGACUCCACCUACGGGCGCCGACCAAUCGGAAGGUCGGUAUUAAAGGGAAAAGCGUGGACGCCUCUGCGGCUACGUUGCCAAGGAUCGAACGACGGUCCUAACCUAGUCACGCCCUCGUAGCUCGCGCAGGGCCGACGCAACAAAAGCGAGACAAUGAGCAUCGCCCUGUGUGGUGUGAGAACACACGCGAAAUUUUUCCGCGCGCGACUUCACGGCCGUCGGAUACUUUUCCCCGGUACUGUCAAAUUAACGAAUUUGGCAGUAGAUUGGAAACUUAUCGUGGAGUUCUUUUUUUCUCUUUUAAAAACUUUUAAGAAUUUUGAGCGCUGUUCCUGUUCGAGUCGCAGGAAGGAUGUCGCAGAAUUACGAAAAAUUUAGAAGUGAAAAAUACCGACGACCACGUGGUGCUUUCAUCCUGAUCGAUUCGCGUUCUUACCUCAUGGAAUUUGACAGUGUACGUUUACGGAGAACAGAGUGAAAAAUUUUGUACUAGUCAUCGGAGAUUCGCAACUAGUGGUCGUCCAACGUCUAGGUCGGCGGCGGCUGGACCGUGUUACCUGAAGAAGCAAUCUCUGUCGCAUGGAAUAACAUUUAGGCCGGACUGCUCGCUGCUCCACUGCAUCCUCGUUUGGCUAUAUAUAUAGGUAUACAUGUGUGUAUACAUACCUGCGCAACUGUGUUACGCCCCCUUCCGUGGGAGUCCUGCGCCAGAAGAUAUGAUCUUCUGUUUUCGUGUAAUCGGGAAGGCAGCGCUGGAGUAUCGUGGAAAAGGGAGCGGAGGAAAAGGAUACGGGAGUGUGAAAAAUAAUUUCCUGCCGUUGAUAUGUGGCGGAUCGGACGAGGAGAAAAGUCCUGGCCGGGGGAUAUCAAAAUAUUAUUCGAGGGUUACCUAGGGUAGCUCCGCAUUCUCGUGCCAUAUAGAAACCUUGCUGAGCCUAAAGUGGAUGGUUAUUGCCCUCAACCUGACCGCACACUCGCCUCAUACCUCGUGGCUGUACACGAAUUUCGUAUUUACCGCUUAAUCCUUCAUCCUUAUCCAAUUUAAUUCUAAGUAUUUCAAAUAUUC